GAUGAACGCUAGCGGCAGGCCUAAUACAUGCAAGUCGGACGGGAUUCAGGAGCUUGCUUCUGAUGAGAGUGGCGCACGGGUGCGUAACACGUAUGUAACCUACCUUUAUCAGGGGGAUAGCCUCUCGAAAGAGAGAUUAAGCCCGCAUAAAAUCACAGCACAGCACUGUGUAAUGAUCAAAUAUUUAUAGGAUAAAGAUGGGCAUGCGGAACAUUAGCUAGAUGGCGGGGUAACGGCCCACCAUGGCGACGAUGUUUAGGGGAUCUGAGAGGAUGGCCCCCCACACUGGUACUGAGACACGGACCAGACUCCUACGGGAGGCAGCAGUAAGGAAUAUUGGUCAAUGGGCGGAAGCCUGAACCAGCCAUGCCGCGUGCAGGAAGACGGCCCUACGGGUUGUAAACUGCUUUUAUACGGGAAUAAACCCAGAUACGUGUAUCUGGCUGAAUGUACUGUAAGAAUAAGGAUCGGCUAACUCCGUG
This 482-nucleotide ribosomal RNA is filed under the name uncultured bacterium. RNAcentral's name for it is "partial 16S ribosomal RNA". It matches the Rfam family "Bacterial small subunit ribosomal RNA", at positions 28 to 507 of the family's 1533-position model. The record is from RNAcentral.